GAACUUCUGGAGAAGGAUGCAGCCAGGACCACAGAGAUCCUUUCUGUAUAGGAUAAUUAUCGUUGAGUUUCCUGUCUCCUGCAGCUGAGAGUCCUAGUCUGUUAGAUCAAGCAAUACUGAAUGGCUACCAAGCGCCAGGCACUGUUGUAGGAUGUUAGAGUUUGGCUUCUUGCACCAGGGGCCAGAGCAACAGUGGAGAAGCAGCCGAGGAGCGCAAACACAGUGAACAUUCCCACCUGUCCGAAGAUGACGUAGGGAAGCACCAGUGCACUGGGGACCAGAUCGCUGCCUUAACGCCAUUUCUUAAAGAUGUGCACAAGGUUUUCACGGUGUGGUGAACCAGCUCGGACCCGAUACUCUGCUAAGGAUCUGACGUCCACAGGGCAUUUUGGAAACAUUGGGCCAGGAGUCAGGAAGACCCUAGUCUGCUGCCUGCCAGGAACCAAUUGCUUGACCUUGGACAAGUCUCUUUCCGUGUCUGGGCCUCAUGCUCUUCAUCUCUAAAGACUCAGACCACACAAUCUCUAAGAUUUCUUCCAGCCCUGACGAAUGUGUUCAAUAAUUUUGUUAAAAACACCCUGUCUCAAACAAUGAAUCUGUGCUUAGCGUGUAAUGGAUACACGAUAAAUGUUUGUCACACAGAAUUAAAUCAUUGUGAUUUCCAUGGAA
This 669-nucleotide long non-coding RNA is filed under the name Equus asinus (donkey). Its description in RNAcentral is "lncRNA (ENSEASG00005038374.1)". The record is from RNAcentral. Lineage: Eukaryota; Metazoa; Chordata; Mammalia; Perissodactyla; Equidae.